This 31-nucleotide non-coding RNA is filed under the name Mus musculus (house mouse). Lineage: Eukaryota; Metazoa; Chordata; Mammalia; Rodentia; Muridae. The record is from RNAcentral.
UGAGACUUCUUAAUCUUGGACCAUGCCUUUU